Long non-coding RNA from Piliocolobus tephrosceles (Ugandan red Colobus), 2197 nucleotides. RefSeq lists it as uncharacterized. The record is from RefSeq and is a predicted model, not a curated record. Lineage: Eukaryota; Metazoa; Chordata; Mammalia; Primates; Cercopithecidae. The transcript has 2 exons.
GUCACCGGAAACAGCGCUGGCCUUUUGACUCGACACUACAAACUCUUGGAACCGAGUGCCUGGAGAAGGCUUGCUCAUGAACUUCCCCGGCGGGCUCCAGUGUGAGGAAUGUGGUAACCUGUGUGUCCUUGGCCAGUAAUGCCCUUCGGGCUUUCCACUUUUUACAGUAGAUUCUCUGUCAGAGGUGAUGGAAACCAAGAUUACCGAGGAGGAAAAAAAAAAAGCCUUGCUGUGGUGCUCAGCUGUGAUUCCUUUUCAUCAUUCACCCUGGAUGUUAUCUUCACUGUGGGAUGAGGUAGUAGGUUGUAUAGUUUUAGGGUCACACCCACCACUGGGAGAUAACUAUACAAUCUACUGUCUUUCCUAACGUGAUAGAAAAGUCUGCAUCCAGGCGGUCUCAUAGAAAGUCAGUUAACUAAUUGUACAAUAUUUAAGAUUAACUUGUCUUAAAAAGAUGUAGUGCAGCAUUUGUUUAUGGCCUGUAAGUUUAUUACUUUAGAGGUAAAGUCUGUAGCAAGUACACUGGAUGGGGGUGGGGAUACCUUUUGCUGCUUGUCUUAUUUCUCUGUGUCAGAAUAAAUGUAUUUUUUUUAUUUUGAUUGAUGCUGAUAAUUUUAUGUUGACAUUUUCUUUUGAAAGAGAUUGUACUUUCCAUUCCAGAAGAAAAGAUUGCUCUAUCAGAGUGAGGUAGUAGAUUGUAUAGUUGUGGGGUAGUGAUUUUACCCUGUUCAGGAGAUAACUAUACAAUCUAUUGCCUUCCCUGAGGAGUAGACUUGCUGCAUUAUUUUGUUUUUAUUUAGAUGAUAUUAAAACUCAGAAGAAUUAAUUUUGACUUUCUGUAUUUACGGUUUAUCAGUUAAUUUUCUCUGUUCAAGUAUAGUACAGUAAGCACAGAGAUUAACAUUUAAAUUUUUCACAUAUGGUAUAUUUCAGAAAUUUGAAGUUAAGCAAACAUCUUAAUGAGUAGAGAAAGUAAGUAGCCUUCAGGAAAUCUUAAUUAGAGGACCAGGCCCUUAUGGAAUUGUGAAUAGGUUUAUUGCCUUACAUCCUGGUACACGCGUCCAAGGUGAGGUCCUGGGUGGUAAAGGUAAAUACAUAUUGGAAGGGCGCUGUGUGAGCCAAAUGAGUCAGAUUAAUCAUGAUUCAUUUCCAGUUUGGGUUUUGGGUGGUCUUGGAGAAUGUUGUAAGCACUGCUUCAUUGAUAUGUUGAUUGAGCCAGACUUUACUCAGCAGCCUGGAAAAGGAGAGAUGGGCUCUGGGUUCUACCUUUGCUCACUGGUAAGUGCUAAGAUCUCAGCUUUGUCCUCAAACCCUGAAGUAGUCCUUCAUUCACACAGUGGAGUCACUUGAAAAUGUCAGAUGGGGAAGUCCAUAGGUUGUUGCUUUAAAAAAAAUAGAAAAAUUGCUGGAAAAGUUUUCUUUAAUUUUAACACCCAUGAAGGCCCAUGUUUUAGCUUUCCUCCGAUGGGUAAACCAUAGUCUUAACUUGGGUCUUGUCAUCAACAAGCAAGGCUAAAAGCUCUCUAAGUGCAUGUUGUUUAAACUAUUUUGUGUUGGAAAAGAGGCAGUGUGGAGGUGAGGGAGAAGUUCCUCCCUCUCCAGUCAUUUCCAAUAAAUGGAAAUUUAAGGAGAAGUUUUUGUUUAUCUUUAAUAUCUAAGAUAGUCACUGUGCAGUGCCAUUGGUACUCUUCAUGAGAGUAGCAACAUCAGACUUCCUUGGAUGGGCCCAACCCAGGUGACUUACUCUGGACCAAAUUUAUGCUUUUUGUUUUAUCCACUGUGGACAGCUGCAUAGAUAAUUGGUCUUUGUUCUAAACUGCACAUAAAAACAUGGGAGAAAAUGACAUUUAUUGCCUUUUGAUGUGCCAAAGAAGAGUGGGAGUGUUCUAAGAAUUCUCUUUGGCUUAACUUUUGUGAAUUGAAAAUAUGUAUAACUCUUUUGCUGAAAGUGUAGCAAGUACAGUCAUGAAAUUUUGUGGUUUUUCUGACACAUGUUCUUCCAGCAAAAUGUUGCCACCUUCAGUUGGAAACGUAUCUUUAAUAAUUAAACUAAGCCCUGGAGAAAAAUUAAUUUAUAUAUUUUAUUUAUUACGUAAGGACAUUAUUAGCUAAGCAGAGUAAGUAAAUUGAAACAAAACUUUAAAAGUGCCUUUAUGGAUAGAGUGACUAAAAACUUUCUAAUGAUGAUGAAAUUCAU